GUAAAAAUAAUUUUUAAAAUAUGAAUUUUUUAUAUAUAACAUUAGAAUGAUCAUUAAGAGUAUUAUAGAAUUUUAAAAAAUACUUAAUAUGAAAAUAUAUAUUUAUUAACCUUUUGAUGAUAACUGUUUUGAAUUAAAAUUCAAAUAAUUUAUUUUUAAAUAAUUAUUUUUAUU
This 174-nucleotide transfer RNA is filed under the name Pneumocystis jirovecii. RNAcentral's name for it is "tRNA-Pseudo(TTT)". The record is from RNAcentral. Lineage: Eukaryota; Fungi; Ascomycota; Pneumocystomycetes; Pneumocystales; Pneumocystaceae.